CUCAGAAGUCUUCGAGUUGCCGUAGGAGGCGGUUGGGCCGUGGGGCUCUCCCGGGCUGGGCCUUGGCGGCCCUGGUGGCCCUGGUGGCCCCGGCCCUCAUCCUCCGGCCUUCAGGGUCCCGAUUCCACACCCCACGCUGUGGUGUCCUUGAAUCCCUGGGCCCCCCAGCCUGGUAUGUGAGGCCCCCAGGCCGGCAGGCCAAGCAGCAGCCACCUGUGGCCAGUUCAUUUGACUAGCUCUGACUGAGCAGCCUGCCAAGUCAUCAGAACAAGAAACUUCACUGAACAAUCUUUUUCGGAAGACUUAUCUGAAGUGCAAACAGGGUUUGUCAAAGAGGCAAGAACUGUCUUUCUCUGCUUGUAUUUGUAUUUUCAGCACCUAGCACAGUGCCCAGCAUAGAGUAAGCAGCUAAUAAAUACUUUCUGACCACAUGCA
Molecule: long non-coding RNA, 435 nt
Filed under: Phascolarctos cinereus (koala)
Lineage: Eukaryota; Metazoa; Chordata; Mammalia; Diprotodontia; Phascolarctidae
Description: lncRNA (ENSPCIG00000032019.1)
Source: RNAcentral